UACAGAGGUGGCAAGCGUUGUUCGGAAUUACUGGGCGUAAAGGGCGCGUAGGUGGCGCGGUGAGUCAACGGUGAAAGCUCGACGCUCAACGUCGAGUCGGCCGUCGAUACUGCCGCGCUGGAGCACUGUAGAGGCUCAUGGAAUUCCGGGUGUAGCGGUGGAAUGCGUAGAGAUCCGGAAGAACACCGGUGGCGAAGGCGGUGAGCUGGGCGAGUAGCUGACACUGAGGCGCGACAGCGUGGGGAGCAACAGG
This 253-nucleotide ribosomal RNA is filed under the name uncultured bacterium. Its description in RNAcentral is "partial 16S ribosomal RNA". It matches the Rfam family "Bacterial small subunit ribosomal RNA", at positions 524 to 775 of the family's 1533-position model. The record is from RNAcentral.